RNA transcript from Corticium candelabrum, 1474 nucleotides. It is a transcript of the gene named RNA-binding protein 4.1-like, with no coding region annotated. The record is from RefSeq and is a predicted model, not a curated record. NCBI's taxonomy places the organism in Eukaryota, Metazoa, Porifera, Homoscleromorpha, Homosclerophorida, Plakinidae. The transcript is spliced from 8 exons.
CACGGUUGACGGACCAUGUCGAAGAAGCUGUACGUCGGGAACAUUCCUCAAGAUUGCAAAGCGUACGAAUUGCAAGCGCUUUUCGAGCGGUAUGGAAAGGUUACCGAGUGCGACAUUCUAUCCGACUAUGGGUUUGUGCAUUACGACAAAACUGAAGACGCAUCGAGAGCAGCAGAGUCGCUAAACGGUUGGGAAUUUCAAGGGAAAGUGAUUCGAGUUGAGGUUUCAAAGAACCAGUUCAAGUCAGGAAAGCUUCGGCCUAUGGGUCCAAUUAGUCGUCGUGAGCCUCUCAGAGACCAACGUACAGGCCGUCCCUACUAUGACGCUGAUAUGUAUGGUACUUCACCGUAUCACAAUCCCUAUCACUAUCAUGACCCUUACGCUGGAAGCAGCCCUUACGCUGGAAGCAGCCCUUAUGCUGGAAGUGACCCUUACGCUGGAAGUGGUCCUUAUGCUGCAAGCAGUCCUCUGAUCAGGCCUCCACCACCACCGCCUCCAACUCGCUACUAUGAUGAUCACAGCCCUCGGUGGUAUGAAUAUGAGAGGCGUGAUUAUGACAGGCGUGAUCCAUACUACGAAGAGCGUCGGGCAUCAUCUUACUACUCUCGCUAUUCACCACCGCCGCCACCACCACCACCACCACCAAGAGAUUACCGUGCGUAUGAUCUUCCUCCACCUAGAUAUCGCUCUAGGAGUCGUACUCCACCAUAUCGAAGACCAGAACCACCACCACCACCACCUUCUGCUUAUGCAAGCUAUUAUGAAGAUAAAUACAGGGAGCCACCACCAAGAGGGCUGCUUUUAAUUAUGCCAACAUGAAGUUUGAUUUUUCUGAUUAUGGAUUGUCAAUAUCACUUUUCUCAAUGCUGGUUAGUUUGUGGCCUUUGUGGUAUUAAUUAUAGUAUGGUUUGUUUUGUUUAUGUCACAUUAAUCUGUCUACACGCUGCAGAUUGCCUUUCAUGCCGCUUGAACAGGUCUUGUGCUGAACUUUGACAUUGAAGAACUGAAGACCAGGACAAGGUUGUUUCUUAACCAGCAAUUAGAACCAAUUUUACCAAAUGAAAGUCUUGAAAUUGGAAUUUAUAUGAAACAGAUUUAGAAGACGAGUUGAUCAUGAAACAGUUUGUGAUGAUCUGUUCAUGUGUCAAGACUUCUGUGACAGAUAUGGUAGUCAUUACUGUGGCAUGGUUAGCAUUAGUGUGGUUGAGUUACUUGCACAGUAAUGACUCACAUGUACUUUGUUGUAAUCAAAUGAAAAAAUGUUUCUAGCAAUUUGGUUGAAAUGUGUUUUGUGCUCAGUGAAAGAAACGGGACAAGUACAUGAUAUAAAAUGUUAAUGAGUCUUAGAGAGAGAGUGUAAACUACUGACACAAACAUCAAGUUUGCUUCAGUAGCUUGAAGUGAAUGAAUGGUGACCUAGUAGGAAGUCUGUAAUUACCUAGUGCUAUCAAUGACAGUGUGCUUACUCUAUAAU